GUGGGUAUAGCUUAGUGGCAGAGCGCAUGCUUAGCAUGCACGAGGUCCUGUGUUCAAUCCCCAGUACCUCCU
This 72-nucleotide transfer RNA is filed under the name Camelus bactrianus (Bactrian camel). It matches the Rfam family "tRNA". Rfam says of the family: Transfer RNA (tRNA) molecules are approximately 80 nucleotides in length. Their secondary structure includes four short double-helical elements and three loops (D, anti-codon, and T loops). RNAcentral also lists the same sequence under 1 other name. The record is from Rfam by way of RNAcentral. Lineage: Eukaryota; Metazoa; Chordata; Mammalia; Artiodactyla; Camelidae.